UACGGAGGGUGCAAGCGUUAUCCGGAUUUACUGGGUUUAAAGGGUGUGUAGGCGGGCUAUUAAGUCAGUGGUGAAAUCUCCGGGCUCAACCCGGAAACUGCCAUUGAUACUAUUAGUCUUGAAUUUUGUUGAGGUAGGCGGAAUAAGUCAUGUAGCGGUGAAAUGCAUAGAUAUGACUUAGAACACCAAUUGCGAAGGCGGCUUACUAAACAAAUAUUGACGCUGAGGCACGAAAGCGUGGGGAUCAAACAGG
Molecule: ribosomal RNA, 253 nt
Filed under: uncultured bacterium
Lineage: Bacteria
Description: partial 16S ribosomal RNA
Rfam family: Bacterial small subunit ribosomal RNA
Source: RNAcentral